Molecule: ribosomal RNA, 550 nt
Filed under: uncultured bacterium
Lineage: Bacteria
Description: bacterial SSU rRNA
Rfam family: Bacterial small subunit ribosomal RNA
Source: RNAcentral
UAGGGAAUCUUCGGCAAUGGACGGAAGUCUGACCGAGCAACGCCGCGUGAGUGAAGAAGGUUUUCGGAUCGUAAAGCUCUGUUGUAAGAGAAGAACGAGUGUGAGAGCGGAAAGUUCACACUGUGACGGUAUCUUACCAGAAAGGGACGGCUAACUACGUGCCAGCAGCCGCGGUAAUACGUAGGUCCCGAGCGUUGUCCGGAUUUAUUGGGCGUAAAGCGAGCGCAGGCGGUUAGAUAAGUCUGAAGUUAAAGGCUGUGGCUUAACCAUAGUAGGCUUUGGAAACUGUUUAACUUGAGUGCAAGAGGGGAGAGUGGAAUUCCAUGUGUAGCGGUGAAAUGCGUAGAUAUAUGGAGGAACACCGGUGGCGAAAGCGGCUCUCUGGCUUGUAACUGACGCUGAGGCUCGAAAGCGUGGGGAGCAAACAGGAUUAGAUACCCUGGUAGUCCACGCUGUAAACGAUGAGUGCUAGGUGUUAGACCCUUUCCGGGGUUUAGUGCCGUAGCUAACGCAUUAAGCACUCCGCCUGGGGAGUACGACCGCAAGGUUG